GACUGCACAAAUGUUUGUCAAUAUUGUGGAGCUUUGUUUUGGUUUGAUGAGCGAGUUUUGUCUACACCUUCUGGGCAGACAAAUCAUAAAUUUUACUCUCCUCUCCCUUUUUCUUUCUGUAGUUGUUUCUUUUUUUUUAUAUAUAUAUAAUUAGCGAUCUAAAUUGUAAAUCAUUAAUCACAGGUACCAACUCUCUGCAAAAAUUGAAGACGAAACUGGAGAACUGAAUAUUACCAUCAACCAUAACUCAGCAACAACAAUGAUAGGCGUUGAAUACCACCAGUUAAUGAUAACGGACACCUGCAGACCUGGCCAUGCAAUACCCGCAGAAAUCACAUCACUUGAAGGAAAAUCAAUGACGUUUCAUAUACAAGCAUAUCGAGAGCGAAGAUCACAAAGAAUAAAGGCAACAGUUCACAAAGUAACUAACAUGCAAACGCAGCCUGCUUCAUCAUCAACACAGCAUACCUUAUCUCCAACAACACCACAAACAACUAAAACACGUUCUGCAUCAUCUAGGAGAUUGGAAUUCACCCCAGAAAGUACCCCAACAAAACAGUCAAAAAGACGCAAGCUGGAUCAUUAAACCAUCAACGAUCAAAAACUUCCGUACAAAGCAAGAUGCCAUAUAAAACCAAACUUUUGCAACUGCUAUCUUUUGUCUCCAGAAGCAACAUGCCACAUCGAACCAAACGUUUGCAACUUCAGUCUUUUGUCUCCAGUAGCGUAUAUAUAGUUUAGAAGUAGCCAAUGGCAUUGUAACUUCAAUCUUUUGUCUCCAGAAACGUAUAUAUAGUUUAGUUUAGAAGUAACCAAUGCCA
Long non-coding RNA from Erigeron canadensis, 821 nucleotides. RefSeq lists it as uncharacterized. NCBI's taxonomy places the organism in Eukaryota, Viridiplantae, Streptophyta, Magnoliopsida, Asterales, Asteraceae. The transcript is spliced from 2 exons. The record is from RefSeq and is a predicted model, not a curated record.